This 6550-nucleotide long non-coding RNA is filed under the name Sus scrofa (pig). Its description in RNAcentral is "lncRNA (ENSSSCG00030058310.1)". The record is from RNAcentral. Lineage: Eukaryota; Metazoa; Chordata; Mammalia; Artiodactyla; Suidae.
UUUUUUUUUUUCCAAAAAAUGUGGUAAAAUACAUAUAACAUGAAUUUACCAUUUUAAUCAUGUUUAAUUAUCCAAUUCAGUGGCUUUAAUUAAAUUCAGAAUUCUAGGUAUAUUAUGCUUGCUGUUUAAUCAUCACCACUAUUUCCAGAACACUCUUCAUUUUGCAAAACUGAAACUCUGUAUCCAUUAAACAGUAACUCUUUAUUCACACCUCUCUUAGCUCCUGACAAUCUCCAUUCUUUUUUCUAUGAACUUCAAUGAUCUUGAUAUCUAAAUGGAAUAAUGCAGUGUUUAUCCCUUUGUUACAGACAUUUCAAAAUGUAUAAUGUCCUCAAAGUUCAUCCACUUUAUACAUAUGUCAGAAUUUAUUUCACUUUUAAGGAUGAAUAAUGUUCUAGUAUACAGGAUACCUUAUUUUAUCAUGCUUUGCCUUAUUACACUUCACUGAUACUGCAUUUUAUUUUUAAUUUUGUGAACAACUCAUACAACUCAACAACAACAAAAACAACCCAAUUGAAAAAUGGGCAAAAGACCUAAAUAGACAUUUCUACAAAGAAGACAUACAAAUAUCCAACAGGCACAUGAAAAGAUGCUCAACAUCACUAAUUAUUAGACAAAUGCAAAUCGAAACUACAAUGAGGCACAGCUUCACACCAGAUAGAAUGGCCCUCAUUAACAAGCCUACAAAUAACAAAUGCUAUAGAGGGUUUAGAGAAAAGAGAACACUUCUACACUGGCAGUGAGAAUAUAAAUUGGUACAACCACUAUGGAAAAUAGUAUGCAGGUUCCUCAGAAAACUAAAUACAAAACUAUCAUAGGGGCCAGCAAUCCAACUCCUGGGCAUAUAUAUGGACAAAACCAUAAUUCAGAAAGUUUUGUGCGCCCCUAUGUUCACUGCAUCACUAUUCACAUUAUCCAAGAUAUGGAAACAACCUAAAUGUCUAUUGACAGAUAAAUGAAUGGAUUAAGAAGAUGUGGAACAUAUGCAUAAUGGAAUACUACUCAACCAUUAAAAAAAAGAAUAAAAUAAUGCCAUUUGCAGCAAUGUGGAUGCAACCAGAGAUUCUCAUACUCAGUAAAGUGAGUCUGAAAAAGACAAAUACUAUAUGAUAUUACUUAUAUGUGGAAUCUAAAAUAUAGCACAAAUGAACCUGUCUACAGAACAGAAGCAGACUCACAGACAUAGAGAACAGACUUGUGGUUGCCAAGAGGGAGAGGGGAGGAAGUGGGAUGGAUGGGGAGAUUGGGGUUGCUAGAUGCAAACUACUACAUUUAGAAUGGAUAAACAAUGAGGUCUUACUGUACAGCACAGAGAACUAUAACCAAUCUCUUAGAACAGAACAUGCUGGAAGAUAGUAUGAGAAAAAGAAUACAUAUGUAUAUAUUUGACUGGGUAACUAUGGUGUACAGUAGAAAUUGACACAAUACUAUAAACCAACUAGACUUUAAUAAAAACAACAACAACAAAAUCAGGCUGUUAUUUUGUACUUGAAGGAAUUCUUUAUAUAUUCUGGCCCAUUAACUUCUUUUCUUUUAUUUUUUUUUUGCAAAUAUUUUCUCCCAUCUAGUGAAUUUUUUCACUUUGUUGAUAGUGUCCUUUCAGUCAUGGACAUUUUAAAUUUUGGUGUAGCAGAAUUUAUGUGUGUUUUCUUUUGUUGCUUGUAUUUUUGAUGUCCUAUCCAAGAAAUUACUGUCAAAUCCAAUGUCAUGAUUUCUACUUGUGUUUUCUUCUGAGAUUUUUAUAGUUUUAGCUCUUAUAUUUACUCUUUUGAUACAUUUUGAGUUGAUUUUUGUAUAUGAUAUAAAAUAAUGACCCAACUUCAUUUUUUUCAUGUGGACAUCAAAUUCUCUAUUUAAAAACCACUGGUCUACAUAUCUGUCUUUAUGUUGGUAGAACAGAGCUUUGAUUACUAGAUUUGUACUAAGUUUUGAAAUAAGGAUAUGUGAGGCAUCUAAUUUGUUCUUUAUUAUUGUUGUUUUGGCUUUUUGGGAUCUUGACUGUGAACUGAAUAUUUGCAUUCCUCCAAAUUCAGAUGUUGAAACCUAAUGCCCAAUGUGAUAUUAUUAAAAGGUGAGCUCUUUUGGAGGUAUUUAGUGGAAACUUCUUGAAUAGAGUUGAUGUACUUAAAAAAAGACCACACAAGAGCUCUUUUUUUUCCUUUGUUUUGAUUUUUUGUCUCUUUAGGGCCACACCCACAGCACAUGGAGGGUCGCAGGGAGGGGCAGAAUCACAGCUACAGCUGCUGGCCUACUCCAGAGCCAUAGCAAUGCCAGAUCUGAGCCAUGUCUGUGACCUACACCACGGCUCACAGCAACGCUGGAUCUUUAACCCAUUGAGUGAGGCCAGGGAUUGAACCUACAACCUCAUGGUUCCUAGUCAGAUUCAUUUCCACUGCACCAGGAUGGGAACUCCCCACAAGAGCUCUUGAGUCCAACUUCCAUCACUUGAAGAUAUAGGGAAAAGAUGAUCAACUAGAAUCAAAAGCUCCAUUCCAGGCCCACUGAGUCAUAAUUUACACUUUAAUGAAGAUCCACAGGUGAUUUUUAUGCACUUCCCUGGAACAACUUUUCUGACUUUUAUUUUUAUUGGGUUUGUUUUAAUCAUAUAUAUUUCUAAUAAUAUAUAUACAUAUUAAAUUUUCCUAUCACCCAUCUCAACUCAAAUUCCAUCAAGUGACCCUUUAUUUGUUACCUUAACUGAGGGUCAUUCCUAUAAAUAUUCCAUUUUUGGUUUCACAGAGUCUUUGUCCUCAGGAGAGUUAAGAAAUAUUUUAGUAAUAUAAAUGUUUUUCUAUUGAUUUUAGCUUUUUGACAUAUCCUCAAGUUGGCUUGAAAACUCAUAACUUAUUCAAAACCUAUUAUUCUAUUGAAAGGUAUGAACUUGGAAAUUACACUUACUGGAUUUUUUUUUUAAAUGGCUACACCAGAGGCAUAUGGAAUUUUCUGGGACAGGGACUGAAUCUGAGCCAUAGCUAUGACCUGUGCCACAGCUGCAGCAAUGCCAGCACCUUAACCCCACUGCACAUGGCUGGGAUCAAACCUGUGCCUAUGAAGUGAUCCAAGACACUGCAGUCAGAUUCUUAAAGUACUGAACCACAAUGAGAACUCCUGGAUAUUUUAACUGAACCUGCUACUUACUAUGGGCCUGAGAGAGUUAUUUAAUCUAUCCGGAGUGUUUUUCAUUGGUCUUUGGUGAAGAUUAGAUGGCAGAGCUUAUUAAAAGCCUAUAUGCUAUGCUCUCUUUAUAUUAGCUUGGUAAAUUACAGCCACUAGCUCAUACUUCUAUUGCCUUGCAUUAAACAGAGGAAGCAUAACUCUUGUGGGAGUCUGCCAAUUUCUCCAUUUUAAUUCUUUCUUUCUUUUGGAGUAGUAAAAUCUGUGAUUUUUACUAAAUCAUGUACUUGCCUACAGACUGUUUCCAAGCUUUUUUGAAUGUGGUCAUGUGAAAAAAUGAAAGCGUUAUUUGUAACAGGAGGGCAGUUUCAUUAAAGCAAAUGACAUUUCUCCCCUAUAUCACCCUUUCUUUUUAUCUUACUUGCUGUUUGGAGUGUGGCUGUGUUCAGUGGACCUAGAGCAGGCUUCUCGAAUCACGAGUUGUGAAAUUCAUAGUGACAUUCACAGAAAAACAGGAUAAAAAUACUGUAUUUUGGGGCAUCAUUAGUUAUUGUAUCAACUCUGUGCUAUCUAUCUGACUUUAAAUUACAAAUCGACUUUUAUCUUUUUAAGUUAUUAAGAUUUUGUAUUUUUGGUUGUUCAGAGCUGAAAUGAGUCUUAAUUAAUACAAAAAUUUGACUAAAAGAAUAACACAUACAAGAAUAAGUGAGAUGGUAAACAGAUUAAGAAAAUAUGGUUUCAGAGUUCCCGUCACGGCACAGCAGAAACAAAUCCAUCUACGAACCAUGAGGUUGUGGGUUCGACCCCUGGCCUCACUCAGUGGGUUAAGGAUCCAGUGUUGCUGUGAGCUAUCAUUUAGGUUACAGAUGCAGCUCAGAUGUGGCACUGCUUUGGCUCUGGGGUAGGCCGGUAGCUAUAACUCUGAUUUGACCCCUAGCCUGGGAACCUCCAUGUGCCAUGGGUAUGGCCCUAAAAAUAAAUAAAUAAAUAAAUAAAUAAAAUAUGGUUUCAAAUCAUAGCUCAGGAGUUACUAUUAGGGCUCAGCAGGUCAUGAACCCAACUAGUACCCAAUACGAUGCAUGUUUGAUCCUUGGCCUUGCUCAGUGGGUUAAGGAUCCAGCAUUGUCGUGAGUUCUGGCAUAGGUCACUGACGUGGCUCAGAUCCUACGAUGCUGUGGCUGUGGUGUGGGCUGGGAGCUGCAGCUCUGAUUGGAGCCCUCACUGGGAAACCACUGGUGUGGCCUUAAAAAGUAAAAAAAUAAUAAUCAUAGCUCAACCUUUAGGUUAAAUGAAAGUAUAUUUACGCAUUAUUUUACUCAAUAUACACCUUUUAAAGGAUAUAUGAUAAUGAUAAUAUGCAAAUAUUGUGAGAAUUAAACAAGAUAAAUUACAUGCAGGGUAUAGAAUAGGAACCAGUAAAUUAAUCCCUGCAGCCAAUUUGUGGCCUGUAGAUCAUACCUUGUCUUCUGUCUGUUGUGAAUAAUUUCGAUAAAUAAAAUUUUAUUGGAACACAGCCACAUCAUUUGUUUACAUAUUGUUUUUGCUACCUUCAUGCUAGAAUGGCAAAGUUGCAAUAGAUAUCUUAUGGUCCAUAGAGCCUAAAAUAUUUAUUAUUUGGCCGUUUACAGAAAAACUGCAAACUCUGAUUGAGGACACAGAAACUGAUUAUUUGAUUAUUUAUUCUCUCUCUAUGAAAUUCUUAUAGUAAAGUAUUGUCUUGUUUGUAAAAUGAUUACAUCACCAAUCAGCCCUCAAUUAUGCAUAUGUUUAGUGACAGUUUUGCAGUGAUAGAUAUAAUAUUUUACUAAUCCAGAUUAUUGACCUAAUCCCUUUGAGGCCAAUGACAUCCAUCUAGAUAUGUAUUACAGAUUCAGUCUGUGGCCUCAGAGCAGAGAAUAAUAGAUUGGACAAUACCAGAUGAAACACAUGAUCUAUUAAUUACUAUUAUGGGUUAAAAUGCUAGGUUUAUGUAAGCCCUUUCCCAGGUAAUAUACGAUUCUUCUCCUCAUGGGAUGCAAUCCACUAACCUUUAAAUAUUAGAAGGCUGCCAAGCGUAAUCAAUCAUUUUAAACCCAAUUGAAUCGAUCUACCUCAGGCACUAAAAAUCAAUGAUUCAAAUGAAAAAAGCAUCCUCCAACAAUAACCUGUAGUAAUGUUAAAAGAUCAGCUCUUUCUUAUAUAGCUAACACACCAUUUGAUUUGAAGGAAUCUUAUUUACCUUUAUUAGAAACCACCCUACACCCUACUGUUUUCCAUGUAUCUUGCUUUGAUUCUCAUUGCAAAACUUUUCAGAUUGAUUAACUAAAGUGAAUAUAUCAGCCAUUACAAUAACAGAACUUUCAAACCAGAGUCAUGGUUUGUUUCCCAAGAAAUAUUCUCAGGCAGUGUGGCAUUUCUCAGUAAACUAUAAGCACUUAAGUUUGAGGCUUAGCUCUUUAAUGGACCUCUGUCAUCUCUACGUAAAUUAAUCACAUUCACCUCUAUUAUGGAUUUUAAAUUGUAACUGCUUUAUUAUAGCAAAGUUUUCAAUGUGCCCUUUUGCAGAUUUCACUUCUUUUAUUUAUAAACUUGAGGAACUGUUCAAUUUAACUUGCUGCAAUAUUUUGUUCAACAUAUGGUAAAAUACUCUGCCACUUUGGGAUACAGGUUUAAAUAACACAUGAUUCCUCCUCUCAGCUAAAAAUGUAAUGUCUUUGAUACAUAUAUGCAUAUAUACAUAGUUUAAGGUAAUGAAAUGAGUGAAGCCCCUCAGUGUGGGAAAUCCUUAAAACAAAUGGGUCAGUUUAUUGUACCUCAAAUAAUAGCUUUUUUGAUCACUUGUGUUAGGAUACUGGGUAGGUCUUUUCUGAGCCUCUGCUCUCUUAUCUGUAAAAAAAUAAAGGUUAUUUGAUGUACUUACUUUUUUCAGUUAAGAUUAAACAAGAUGGUACAUGUCAGUUGGCCUUUGAUUAAUAUUAGUUCUUCUUAAUAUUAGUCACUUCUCUACUUCAAAUAUAUCUAGAGGCAUGGAAGAGUGAUUCUCAGGGUAGAAAUGUUAUUAAAAAUACAGGCAUCAAAUUUAAAACAGGUAAAACAGGCCAUCCCUUGAAGCUGAAGCAUGGGAGGCAAGACUUUUGAGAAUACAAGGCAGUCUUCUCAAUCUGGACAUGUUUGUGAAAUGGUGAAGAAGGAAACAAGACUGGCUAGUUUCAUGAAAAGGAAAGAGUUAAUGGGAAAGAAAAGUAUAAUGAAAUAUCACAAUGUUGUGAUUAGAAUAAUUAAUGGAAUAUAGUAGCAUUUCAAUAAAUGUUUGUUGAAUGGAUGUUAAAUGACUUUUGACAAAUGUAUUUUUACCCUACUUCUUUGUGUCAGUUAUUACUAAUGAGAUGGCAACAGGUUCCUAUCCUUUGCAAAGUCUUUAUGUUAGUGCAAAGAGGCAGGUAACUUACCAAAUGUC